UCUCUCUCUUCUCCAACGCAACGGUCGAAACACGGCGGCCGCCGAGAUCCCCGCCGCCUCCACCGGAGAGAGCCGGGGCACGCGCGCCUACCCUAGAGAGGGGUGGGUGUGUUGGGUCCGCAGGAGAGCGGAGUGCGCACCUGCUCGUACGACGGCGCAGCCAUCCCGCGCUCCUCGGCUCCCGCUUCGACGCCGACAAGGUCGCCCAUCUCUUCCCGCAGGAAAUACCAGUAGCCGGGCAGACAGAGAAGAUCACCUGAGUAUACUAUAUUGGACCAUGAACUGAAUGAUGCUAGAAAUGAAUUAGCUUCGAUGCUUGGCAAUAUACUAGUUUUUGCCAAGACUACCCCACUAAACGAAAAAAGUUACGUUGUCCGCUGCCGAAUGAAAUGCUAACAGCAAAAAUGGAAAACUACAGUGGCCACGCCAAGCAUAUAUAACAUUGGGGAGGAAAGCACCCCGCAUCAGGAUCACAUAAAGGAGUUAAAACGAUCAAAAAAGUCAUGUUCCCGAAGUUCACUUCCAGUUUCUUUCUCCAUAAUCUUCUGAUUGAAUUUAUGCAUUGAAGUUGAAUGAGAUGUUGGUUGACACGCACUGUAAGAUCGUGCUAGCUCUAUGUCUGCUAUGAAAUGUGUACUGCUUGGAAAUCUUGCUGCUACUAUGUAUCCCCUCAAACUAAAUGAAUGAUACUGCUCAGCUUUGACUUCAUGAAUGAGGAAUCUUGGUCAUUGCUCUA
Triticum aestivum (bread wheat) is the source of this 736-nucleotide long non-coding RNA. RefSeq lists it as uncharacterized. NCBI's taxonomy places the organism in Eukaryota, Viridiplantae, Streptophyta, Magnoliopsida, Poales, Poaceae. The transcript has 4 exons. The record is from RefSeq and is a predicted model, not a curated record.